This 450-nucleotide unclassified non-coding RNA is filed under the name Hevea brasiliensis (rubber tree). The record is from RNAcentral. Lineage: Eukaryota; Viridiplantae; Streptophyta; Magnoliopsida; Malpighiales; Euphorbiaceae.
AACAGAAUCAGAAUUUGUUGUUUGCACUGUUCCAUCAUCUUUAUCACUGGAAGUUUCCUGAGCCCCUUGAGGAGUUGGAGAAUGUCCUAGAGCCACAUCAAAUGGCAUAGGUAGAGGAGGCGGCCUGUAAGCAUCAGGGACUGACGUGUCAAGGUUUGUAUCAACCAAGAGUCCCAAGGGGAGUGCAGACGCAGCACCAUGACGGGAUGAUAGUGGGACAUGCUCUUCUGAUGCUCUGGAAUAAUAAUAAUAAGGCGGCGCAAUAUUUAGUUCAGCUUCCUUGGAAGAACAACAGCAGCAACCUCCCAUUUAUCCUUGUAUUUUAUCUCCAAUAUCCAUGUAAAAUUUUAUUCACUUGGGCAUCAUAUGCUGCUACCAGCUAUCCACCAUAAGCGAAACGUAUAACCGUGUUAGAACAAUCCAAGAGGCAUACCUGAUAUGAUUGAGAAU